UAAAUGAUAUAUAGGAUUUUCAUGUAAGUUGGAUAUACGAAUACAAUAUUAACUUGUUUUUUGUUUUGUGCAGGGUUACAAUAUAACUUUAACCUAUCUGUUACAUGAGCUACGUAUAGUUGAACCGAACUGCGUAAAAAAGGUGUUGCGUGGCAUCAAUUAUGUCUUGUUUCGAGAAGAGUAGGUGGUUGCAGUGUUUACUCUCUCGUUUCCGGCCAACGGUGAGAAUGAAGAUGUUCAAGGGUUGGAAGCAGUAUUUGACGGGGUGAUGUUGUUAUAGAGGGCUGUGUAAUGGUUGUUGACGGCACAAUGGAAGUGUGAUAUCUGGAAGUGAUGUAAUUCUCCUGAAUUCUCUCUAUCAGUCUCAGCAUCCACUGGGAAACAUGUUCAGUAUUUGACAGGGUGAUGUUGUUAUAGAGGGCUGUGUAAUGGUUGCUGACGGCACAGUGGAAGUGUGAUAUCUGGAAGUGAUGUAAUUCUCCUGAAUUCUCUCUAUCAGUCUCAGCAUCCACUGGGAAACAUGUUCCUUGAGACUCUUCAACAAGUGAUAUUAGAACUAUGAUUUGGUUUGGUGGAGAAGCAGGACAUGAUAUUGGAUAUUUGUAUCGAAAUUCUUUCUAACAAUGUAAUCAGGAAACAUGUUAUGUUGGUAAUAAUGAUAAUAUAAGUAUAUGAUGUAGGAGACUCUCCCUCAAAUUUUAUUCAUUUUAAUCGUUUUGAGACAACACAACAAUAA
Molecule: non-coding RNA, 736 nt
Organism: Cicer arietinum (chickpea)
Lineage: Eukaryota; Viridiplantae; Streptophyta; Magnoliopsida; Fabales; Fabaceae
Source: RefSeq, a predicted model, not a curated record